Molecule: long non-coding RNA, 237 nt
Filed under: Salvia miltiorrhiza (redroot sage)
Lineage: Eukaryota; Viridiplantae; Streptophyta; Magnoliopsida; Lamiales; Lamiaceae
Description: long non-coding RNA (SMIL_LNC001934)
Source: RNAcentral
ACAUUUCCUUUUUGGGUGUCCCAUUAAAAGUGGCUACUUUCUAAAAAUGGCAAAAGUUUACUUUAAUUAAGUCAACAAUUACUCACUAAUUUGGUCAACAAUUGUAGACCACUUUCUAAAAAUGUCAAAAUUACUCACUAAUUUGGUCAACAAUUGUAGGCCACUUUCUAAAAAUUACUCACUAAUUUUGGUGGGUCACACUCAAUUAAAACAUAACAAUCCCCUUCUUAAUCUCCG